RNAcentral lists this ribosomal RNA (486 nucleotides) under uncultured bacterium. RNAcentral describes it as "partial 16S ribosomal RNA". It matches the Rfam family "Bacterial small subunit ribosomal RNA", at positions 30 to 507 of the family's 1533-position model. The record is from RNAcentral.
AUUGAACGCUGGCGGCAUGCCUUACACAUGCAAGUCGAACGGCAGCGCGGACUUCGGUCUGGCGGCGAGUGGCGAACGGGUGAGUAAUACAUCGGAACGUACCCUGUUGUGGGGGAUAACUAGUCGAAAGAUUAGCUAAUACCGCAUACGACCUGAGGGUGAAAGUGGGGGACCGGAAACGGCCUCAUGCAGCAGGAGCGGCCGAUGUCUGAUUAGCUAGUUGGUGGGGUAAAGGCCCACCAAGGCGACGAUCAGUAGCUGGUCUGAGAGGACGAUCAGCCACACUGGGACUGAGACACGGCCCAGACUCCUACGGGAGGCAGCAGUGGGGAAUUUUGGACAAUGGGGGCAACCCUGAUCCAGCAAUGCCGCGUGUGUGAAGAAGGCCUUCGGGUUGUAAAGCACUUUUGUCCGGAAAGAAAUCGCGCUGGUUAAUACCUGGCGUGGAUGACGGUACCGGAAGAAUAAGCACCGGCUAACCACGUG